CUGAGGGCAUCACGCAGGACUUCCUCUCUUUACAUUAUCCUUUAAAAAAUAGGAGAAAAACUGAAAGUCUUCAUAUUCUUUAUUUUUCAUUGACGCAGCAUGCAUACAAUUCAUAUAAAGCACAUCUUUACAGUUUUUAUUUAAGAAAAAUGUUGAAAAAUGGGAGCUUUAGUUAUUAAGGUUUUCUCUAAUGGUGAAACCUAGCUUUCUACUGGUUC
RNAcentral lists this long non-coding RNA (218 nucleotides) under Setaria italica (foxtail millet). Its description in RNAcentral is "long non-coding RNA (SITA_LNC006949)". The record is from RNAcentral. Lineage: Eukaryota; Viridiplantae; Streptophyta; Magnoliopsida; Poales; Poaceae.